RNAcentral lists this ribosomal RNA (478 nucleotides) under uncultured bacterium. Its description in RNAcentral is "partial 16S ribosomal RNA". It matches the Rfam family "Bacterial small subunit ribosomal RNA", at positions 28 to 523 of the family's 1533-position model. The record is from RNAcentral.
GACGAACGCUGGCGGCGUGCUUAACACAUGCAAGUCGAACGGUAAGGCCCUUCGGGGUACACGAGUGGCGAACGGGUGAGUAACACGUGGGUGGUCUGCCCUGCACUUCGGGAUAAGCCUGGGAAACUGGGUCUAAUACCGGAUAGGACCACUGCCUGCAUGGGUGGUGGUGGAAAGCUUUUGCGGUGUGGGAUGGGCCCGCGGCCUAUCAGCUUGUUGGUGGGGUGAUGGCCUACCAAGGCGACGACGGGUAGCCGGCCUGAGAGGGUGACCGGCCACACUGGGACUGAGAUACGGCCCAGACUCCUACGGGAGGCAGCAGUGGGGAAUAUUGCACGAUGGGCGCAAGCCUGAUGCAGCGACGCCGCGUGAGGGAUGACGGCCUUCGGGUUGUAAACCUCUUUCAGCACCGACGAAGCGCAAGUGACGGUAGGUGCAGAAGAAGGACCGGCCAACUACGUGCCAGCAGCCGCCGCCG